Molecule: long non-coding RNA, 208 nt
Filed under: Cyanistes caeruleus (blue tit)
Lineage: Eukaryota; Metazoa; Chordata; Aves; Passeriformes; Paridae
Description: lncRNA (ENSCCEG00000013647.1)
Source: RNAcentral
CUGUGAGAUGGACCUGUUGUGUCAAAGAGGGAGCCCAGGAAAAGGACAAAGUGCUGGAGUGAAGGAGAUGGUGCAGAGGUCACUGCAGGCACCUGCUGUUUCUGGAACUUUCUGUUUUGAGGUAUAUGCUGACUUUGGACAGGUUCAGUGCCUUCAGCAGCUUUUGCAGGGUGCCAGGUCCACAAUCUGGUUUAACAAAGGCCACUAG